This 487-nucleotide ribosomal RNA is filed under the name Cronobacter sp. cc2326. RNAcentral describes it as "bacterial SSU rRNA". It matches the Rfam family "Bacterial small subunit ribosomal RNA", at positions 30 to 504 of the family's 1533-position model. The record is from RNAcentral. Lineage: Bacteria; Pseudomonadati; Pseudomonadota; Gammaproteobacteria; Enterobacterales; Enterobacteriaceae.
AUUGAACGCUGGCGGCAGGCCUAACACAUGCAAGUCGAACGGUAACAGRGAGCAGCUUGCUGCUCUGCUGACGAGUGGCGGACGGGUGAGUAAUGUCUGGGAAACUGCCUGAUGGAGGGGGAUAACUACUGGAAACGGUAGCUAAUACCGCAUAACGUCUWCGGACCAAAGUGGGGGACCUUCGGGCCUCAUGCCAUCAGAUGUGCCCAGAUGGGAUUAGCUAGUAGGUGGGGUAACGGCUCACCUAGGCGACGAUCCCUAGCUGGUCUGAGAGGAUGACCAGCCACACUGGAACUGAGACACGGUCCAGACUCCUACGGGAGGCAGCAGUGGGGAAUAUUGCACAAUGGGCGCAAGCCUGAUGCAGCCAUGCCGCGUGUAUGAAGAAGGCCUUCGGGUUGUAAAGUACUUUCAGCGGGGAGGAAGGYGUUGUGGUUAAUAACCRCAGCRAUUGACGUUACCCGCAGAAGAAGCACCGGCUAACUCC